Tachyglossus aculeatus (Australian echidna) is the source of this 104-nucleotide small nuclear RNA. The record is from RefSeq and is a predicted model, not a curated record. Lineage: Eukaryota; Metazoa; Chordata; Mammalia; Monotremata; Tachyglossidae.
CCUUUGGGUUGAAGAGGACUCAACAGCACAAGACAAGACAGACAAGAUUAUCAUGGGCUCUGCUCAAGGAUGUUACCCCAAUUUAUGAAAUUUUCCAUAUUUUC